AGGACGAACGCUGGCGGCGUGCUUAACACAUGCAAGUCGAGCGGAAAGGCCCUUCGGGGUACUCGAGCGGCGAACGGGUGAGUAACACGUGAGUAAUCUGCCCCUAGCUCUGGGAUAGCUCCGGGAAAACCGGGAUUAAUACCGGAUACGACCACCUUAGACAUCUUUUGUGGUGGAAAGAAUUUCGGCUAGGGAUGAGCUCGCGGCCUAUCAGCUUGUUGGUGGGGUAACGGCCUACCAAGGCGACGACGGGUAGCCGGCCUGAGAGGGCGACCGGCCACACUGGGACUGAGACACGGCCCAGACUCCUACGGGAGGCAGCAGUGGGAAUAUUGCGCAAUGGGCGAAAGCCUGACGCAGCGACGCCGCGUGGGGGAUGAAGGCCUUCGGGUUGUAAACCCUUUCAGCAGGGACGAAGCGAAAGUGACGGUACCUGCAGAAGAAGCGCCGGCUAACUACGCGACAGCAGCCGC
RNAcentral lists this ribosomal RNA (473 nucleotides) under uncultured bacterium. RNAcentral describes it as "SSU rRNA". It matches the Rfam family "Bacterial small subunit ribosomal RNA", at positions 26 to 518 of the family's 1533-position model. The record is from RNAcentral.